CGACGAAUCUUCCGCAAUGGGCGCAAGCCUGACGGAGCGACGCCGCGUGUGGGAUGAAGCGCCUUCGGCGUGUAAACCACUGUCAGGGGACGGAACCAAUGAUUGUCUCCAAAGGAAGGGGCGACUAACUCUGUGCCAGCAGUCGCGGUAAGACAGAGGCCCCGAGCGUUAAUCGGAAUUACUGGGCUUAAAGGGUGCGUAGGCUGAUCCGAAAGUGCUCCGUGAAAUCCCCCGGCUCAACCGGGGAACAGCGAGGCAUACUGCGGAUCUUGAGGCAGGUAGGCGCCGAGGGAACAGUAGGUGGAGCGGUGAAAUGCGUAGAUAUCUACUGGAACGCCGAUGGUGAAGACGCUCGGCUGGGCCUGUCCUGACGCUGAGGCACGAAAGCGUGGGGAGCAAACAGGAUUAGAUACCCUGGUAGUCCACGCCGUAAACGAUGUACGCUAGAUCGGUGCGGCUCUGACGCCGGAUCGGUCGAAGUAAAAACGAUAA
This 492-nucleotide ribosomal RNA is filed under the name uncultured bacterium. RNAcentral's name for it is "bacterial SSU rRNA". It matches the Rfam family "Bacterial small subunit ribosomal RNA", at positions 355 to 863 of the family's 1533-position model. The record is from RNAcentral.